CGGCGCUGCAUGCGAUCUCCAUCGCCGCGGCCCCUCCACCGAUCGCCUUCCGCGGGACAUCAUCACCAGCAACCUCCGCUGGGGUGUGAGGUGCUAUGAGCAUGUGACUCUAAAUCUACUAGUCCUAGAAUGGAUUACAGUUGUCAGGAAUUUUUGUUGGGACUAGUGAGCUUCAGUACCGUAGAAAGACACAGCUACAUUAUUUGUACUCUAGUACAGUACCGUAGAGUCAUUAUCAGGCCAUUCAUUUAUAAUGCCAAUAGGAUGGUUUAAUAUUCAAAGACUAGUUUCUUGCUUGUUCAUGUUAGCUGAUUUUAAACCUAACUAUUUGAUUUUUGUCUUGCAGUGAUAUAAAAAAGUUGAAACUUUCAUACUUACCUGCCGAGAAUGCAUUGUUGAAGUUGCAAAGAUGAAUCCUACAUGGAGUGGAAUUUAUCUCCGGGUUAAUUAACCUUGGUUGCCAAACUAGCCCUCAAUGUGCGGGACAAGAAGGGAAAUACUGCUUUGCACAUAGCUACACG
Molecule: long non-coding RNA, 521 nt
Organism: Zea mays
Lineage: Eukaryota; Viridiplantae; Streptophyta; Magnoliopsida; Poales; Poaceae
Exons: 3
Source: RefSeq, a predicted model, not a curated record